UGAGAGUUAACUCAGUGGAAGAGUGCUUGUUUCAUACGCAAAUAGUCGGGGGUUCGACUCCCUCACUCUCAA
This 72-nucleotide transfer RNA is filed under the name Streptococcus sp. RNAcentral's name for it is "tRNA-Met". It matches the Rfam family "tRNA". From Rfam's summary of the family: Transfer RNA (tRNA) molecules are approximately 80 nucleotides in length. Their secondary structure includes four short double-helical elements and three loops (D, anti-codon, and T loops). The record is from RNAcentral. Lineage: Bacteria; Bacillati; Bacillota; Bacilli; Lactobacillales; Streptococcaceae.